This 492-nucleotide ribosomal RNA is filed under the name uncultured bacterium. RNAcentral's name for it is "partial 16S ribosomal RNA". It matches the Rfam family "Bacterial small subunit ribosomal RNA", at positions 29 to 507 of the family's 1533-position model. The record is from RNAcentral.
AGUGAACGCUGGCGGUAGGCCUAACACAUGCAAGUCGAACGGCAGCACAGUAAGAGCUUGCUCUUACGGGUGGCGAGUGGCGGACGGGUGAGGAAUACAUCGGAAUCUACUUUUUCGUGGGGGAUAACGUAGGGAAACUUACGCUAAUACCGCAUACGACCUACGGGUGAAAGCAGGGGUUCUUCGGACCUUGCGCGAUUGAAUGAGCCGAUGUCGGAUUAGCUAGUUGGCGGGGUAAAGGCCCACCAAGGCGACGAUCCGUAGCUGGUCUGAGAGGAUGAACAACCACACUGGAACUGAGACACGGUCCAGACUCCUACGGGAGGCAGCAGUGGGGAAUAUUGGACAAUGGGCGCAAGCCUGAUCCAGCCAUACCGCGUGGGUGAAGAAGGCCUUCGGGUUGUAAAGCCCUUUUGUUGAGAAAGAAAAGCAGCAGGUUAAUACCCCGCUGUUCUGACGGUACCCAAAGAAUAAGCACCGGCUAACUUCGUG